CGGCGACAUCAUGUAAGCCCGGAUAUGGAUUAAACAAGAAAAAUAAUAGAAAAAAAAGAUUUCAGAAAUGUUUUUACCUUUUUCUUCUUUCUUUUUUGUUGUUGUUGAUGACUGAGAGAAGAGAGGAGAAAGGAAGGGAAAGAAAAAAGGAGGAGGCGGAUGCCACCGCCGAGGCCGCCGUUAAGAGGGGGCUGAGGGCGGCGGCGGCCGAGAGAGGAGAGAAAGAGAAAAAAGAAGAAAAAAGAGGAAGAGGAAGAUCCGCGACGGCGGCGACGUGGCGAUGUGGUGGACGCGGGGCGAUUGCGCGAUAGCGACGGGGGCGGGGGGCGGGAGGGGGGAGGAGGGCAGGGAAGAGAAGAGGAGAGGUAGAGAGGAGGGAGGAGAAGAGAAGAGAAGAAGAGAGUUAGAGAGAAGGGAGAGAUUUUAGAGAGAAGGCAAAGAGAAUUGAGAGAGGAGAGGGGAGGACAGAGAGUGGGAGGCUGUAAAAUGGUCGAUUUUUGGUGAAAAUUGCCCUUUUAUACGACCUAUUACGGUUAGAAUGCAAUGAUUGAAUUGCCCCUACCUCCCCUCUUCAGCGGCAAAGCUCCAGGGACAGUUUUGUCUUUUCAAAUUUCUGGUCGAGCAGGAAGUAAUGCCUCCCCCACCCGCCGGAUCUGGACUGUUACUUGGUUGGGCCCAGCUUAAGUUUGGGCCCAAUUGAUUAAAUAAGGGCAAGCCUUUUUCCAAUUUAAGUCAUAUUCAUGUUACAUUAAAACCUUAUUAAGAUUGAAAUAAAAUUGAAAUAAAGUGUGGAAUAAUAGCAUAAUAAAGGUUUUAAGUUCUUUAAUUUUUUGUUAAUAUUGUAAACUUAAAAAACUCAAAACUUUAUAUUUAUCCGAAUUGAUGUAGCAUUUUAAUUGACAUUAAUACAACGACAAUAUAACUAUCAAAUCUUCUAAAAUAUUUAUGGCAUAUUUAUUUAAAUAAACAUUCGUUUCCCGUCCUGUAAUGUGUUUUUCAAUUAGGUCAAAUCAAGUUAAUGUAAAUUAUUUAAUUUGUCAUUUGGGAAAUAAUGUGAAAAUUCCUUGAUAAUUA
RNAcentral lists this long non-coding RNA (1074 nucleotides) under Linum usitatissimum (flax). RNAcentral describes it as "long non-coding RNA (LUSI_LNC002364)". The record is from RNAcentral. Lineage: Eukaryota; Viridiplantae; Streptophyta; Magnoliopsida; Malpighiales; Linaceae.